AAAGACCAUUCUCAACAAUCAGACUGUUGACAUUCCAGAAAUGCCAAAAUCAAUCAGAAAGGUUACACAGUCAUUGUGAAGGGCCCCAGGGGGACUCUGCAGAGGGACUUCAAUCACAUCAAUGUAGAGCUGAGUCUUCUUGGGAAGAAAGAGAGGCUCUGGGUUGACAAAUGGUGGGGUAACAGAAAGGAACUGGCCACUGUCAGAACCAUCUGCAGUUACGUUCAGAACAAGAUCAAGGGUGUUACACUGGGCUUCUGUUAAGAUGAGGUCUGUGUGUGCUCACUUUCCUAUCAACAUCGUUAUUCAGGCAAAUGGGUCUUUAGCUGAAAUCUGAAAUUUCUUGGGUGGAAAAUACAUCCACAGGGUUCAGAUAAGGACAGGUGCUGCUUGUGCUGUCUCUCAAGCCCAGAAGGAUGAGUUAAUCCUUGAAGGAAAUGAUGUUGAACUUGUUUCAAAUUCAGCCGCUCUGAUUCAGCAAGUUAAAAACAAGGAUGUCAGGAAGUUUUGGGCAGCAUCUAUGUGUCUUAGAAGGGAACCGUGCAGCAGGUUGACG
This 556-nucleotide long non-coding RNA is filed under the name Mus musculus (house mouse). Its description in RNAcentral is "long non-coding RNA chr4:108731741-108732297". Lineage: Eukaryota; Metazoa; Chordata; Mammalia; Rodentia; Muridae. The record is from RNAcentral.